Molecule: ribosomal RNA, 253 nt
Filed under: uncultured bacterium
Lineage: Bacteria
Description: partial 16S ribosomal RNA
Rfam family: Bacterial small subunit ribosomal RNA
Source: RNAcentral
UACAGAGGUCUCAAGCGUUGUUCGGAUUCAUUGGGCGUAAAGGGUGCGUAGGCGGCGAAGCAAGUCUGAUGUGAAAUCCCGGGGCUCAACCCCGGAACUGCAUUGGAUACUGCUUUGCUAGAGUACUGGAGAGGAGACUGGAAUUUACGGUGUAGCAGUGAAAUGCGUAGAUAUCGUAAGGAAGACCAGUGGCGAAGGCGGUUCUCUGGGCCUUACCUGACGCUGAGGAGCGAAAGCGUGGGUAGCGAACAGG